Non-coding RNA from Solanum lycopersicum (tomato), 1204 nucleotides. The record is from RefSeq and is a predicted model, not a curated record. NCBI's taxonomy places the organism in Eukaryota, Viridiplantae, Streptophyta, Magnoliopsida, Solanales, Solanaceae.
GUAGUAUGAAACUUGGCCACAUGCUAUCCACAAAACACCUUUCACUAUCCAGUUUCUGAUAAUCAGUUAAACCAUAGCCCUUCCACAAACUUUCCCUCCCCUUCUUCUUCAACAAUCCAACAAACAAAAAUGUCAGUAGCAUCAUCUUCUUCCUUCCCCUGCAUCAAAAUUCAAAACCCAUCUUCUUCUUCAUUAUCAUCCUAUAAUUUCAGAUUUUCUACUACACUUACCAUUAGGAGUUCUCAAGCUGAUGGCCCUUUAAGAAGACCUAUGGUACAACCCCCAACCCCUCUCAAACCUACCCCACCAUCACCACCUUCAACUUCUUCGCCACCGCCUCCGUCUCCGCCUAGUGCUCCGCUUAAGCAGGUUGCAGUGGAGGGCAAAAAUGUAAUUACCAUGGAAUUUCAGAGGCAAAAGGCUAAGGAGCUUCAAGAGUAUUUCAAGCAGAAGAAGCUUGAGCAAGCGAAUCAAGGUCCCUUCUUUGGCUUUAUUGGCAAGAAUGAGAUUUCUAAUGGCAGACUCUUAACAAUGGGCAUUCGGAAGCAUUGAUAAAAAAAAGUGGUAUUUUCUUGAUGGGAUGGACAACCAAACGUGCAGCCAAGCUAUGUUGGAGUUAGAAACAUAGUAGGAAAACGCGCUGCAGUUCACUUUACGAAAUAGUGGCUCUGAUACCAGACACCAGAAAGACUUUUCAGGCUUAUGAUGAUCGAUCGAUCAUAACUCUCAUGUCCUUCACAGUUAUAGAGACAUACAUUCUUUCAGGUGUAGCUGACUUUCUAAAACAAUUUUGUGGUAGCUGACAUACAUCCUUUUGCCGUUGUUUAUUAUCAAUUGCUUAGAGGUGGUAAAAAGACGUAUAAGUUGAUGGGCAAUGUUUGGUUUUGCUGUUGGGAUGUUAACAGAAUAUGCAACUGGUUCUGACUUUGUGGAUCAAGUUAAGAUCCUUCUCUCAAAUUUUGGGAUACUAGACUUGGAAUGAGGUUCCUCCAUAUCACUAAAUCUUGCCAUAAGAUACUUUCCUUUGUAAUUUUCUGUAAAAGAAAUACAAUUGCUUUCUUUCAAAUUUCAUUUGUUUGAGCCCCUUCAUUCUACUAUAUACAGUAUAGUUAACACACUCCUACCUGUGUUAUUAUUCACGUAAGAAAAGGAAACAACUGAUAGUUUUGAUGUGAAUUUGUGAAAAAAAAGUGAUAGUUCAUUA